Molecule: ribosomal RNA, 377 nt
Filed under: uncultured Nitrososphaerota archaeon
Lineage: Archaea; Thermoproteati; Nitrososphaerota
Description: bacterial SSU rRNA
Rfam family: Archaeal small subunit ribosomal RNA
Source: RNAcentral
UUGGGCCUAAAGCAUCCGUAGCUCGUUUUGUAAGUUUUCGGUUAAAUCCAUGCGCUUAACGUAUGGGCUGCCGGGAAUACUGCAUAACUAGGAAGUGGGAGAGGUAGACGGUACUCGGUAGGAAGGGGUAAAAUCCUUUGAUCUAUUGAUGACCACCUGUGGCGAAGGCGGUCUACCAGAACACGUUCGACGGUGAGGGAUGAAAGCUGGGGGAGCAAACCGGAUUAGAUACCCGGGUAGUCCCAGCUGUAAACGAUGCAGACUCGGUGAUGCAUUGGCUUGUGGCCAAUGCAGUGCCGCAGGGAAGCCGUUAAGUCUGCCGCCUGGGAAGUACGUACGCAAGUAUGAAACUUAAAGGAAUUGGCGGGGGAGCACAA